RNAcentral lists this ribosomal RNA (494 nucleotides) under uncultured bacterium. RNAcentral's name for it is "bacterial SSU rRNA". It matches the Rfam family "Bacterial small subunit ribosomal RNA", at positions 24 to 507 of the family's 1533-position model. The record is from RNAcentral.
UCAGGAUGAACGCUAGCUACAGGCUUAACACAUGCAAGUCGAGGGGAAACGACAUUGGAAGCUUGCUUCGAUGGGCGUCGACCGGCGCACGGGUGAGUAACGCGUAUCCAACCUGCCCACCACUUGGGGAUAACCUUGCGAAAGUAAGACUAAUACCCAAUGACGUCUCUAGAAGACAUCUGAAAGGGAUUAAAGAUUCAUCGGUGAUGGAUGGGGAUGCGUCUGAUUAGCUUGUUGCGGGGUAACGGCCCACCAAGGCAACGAUCAGUAGGGGUUCUGAGAGGAAGGUCCCCCACAUUGGAACUGAGACACAGUCCAAACUCCUACGGGAGGCAGCAGUGAGGAAUAUUGGUCAAUGGGCGAGAGCCUGAACCAGCCAAGUAGCGUGCAGGAUGACGGCCCUAUGGGUUGUAAACUGCUUUUAUAAGGGAAUAAAGUGAGCCUCGUGAGGCUUUUUGCAUGUACCUUAUGAAUAAGGACCGGCUAAUUCCGUG